CAACAUAAAACAACCUGCAAUGUAAUUACACGAGACGGGCAAAGGCGACUCUUUGUUUCCACUGGAGCUGGCCUUCGUCAGACGUCGGGAGACGAACCGAGUUGACGUUUGUCUUUCAGUCUCUUCUCUUUUUUUUUUUAUCUUUUUGGAAUAUUAGUUUUAAUGACACCGGGCCAGGUAUCACAUAUCUUUAUACACCCCCGUCCCUAUGCCUUAACCUUCUAAGGAAGUUGUAAAAACAAGAGGGGGGAAGGGAGAAAUAAUUUUUUGUUUAGUUGCAGCAUAGAAAAUAAAAACGAAAGAAAGAAAAGAUCGUGGGAGCCGUUUCAGAAAAAGGGCAGCGAAGGUGGCGCAGAAGGAAACGCGACUCCUGCGGGUAUAUACCGGUGUAGGUGAAUACACACACACCAGCACAUGCAGCCGCUACAUAGACAGAGGCUCUCUUUCCUGCACUUCAUUUCCGUGUAAACCGCAACGGUAUGCGGAUUGCCUGAUUUCUUGCGUGCCUCGUCGACAUUCCGAUAUUUAUUGAUUAUCCUAUACUUCAUUAAAUAAAACAAAAAUCUGAAUAUGCAAUCCAAUGAGCAUUUUUUUUUUUUUACGACAUCACGAGCAAGUAAGACGGCUCGGAGUGCAAGACAGGUUUCGAUUUUUGCUCAUAAUUCCGCAUUAAAUUCGAUAUUAAUCUUGUAGUGAACGUUAAUACAAAACAAAAAUUGUUCUUGUUUGUUCUAUCAACUUUUUCACGACCGGGCGUGGAAGCCAAGCAGCAUUCACGGCC
Molecule: long non-coding RNA, 781 nt
Organism: Daphnia magna
Lineage: Eukaryota; Metazoa; Arthropoda; Branchiopoda; Diplostraca; Daphniidae
Exons: 3
Source: RefSeq, a predicted model, not a curated record